GCCAGGUGUGGUGGCUCAUGCCUGUAGUUCCAGCUACUAGGGAGGCUGAGGAAGGAGGAUCAUUCGAGCCCAGGAGUUUAAGACUGCAGUGAGCUGUGAUCAGAACACUGCACUCCAGCCUGGGCAACAGAGUGAGACCCUGUCUCUU
Molecule: non-coding RNA, 148 nt
Organism: Pan troglodytes (chimpanzee)
Lineage: Eukaryota; Metazoa; Chordata; Mammalia; Primates; Hominidae
Rfam family: Metazoan signal recognition particle RNA
About the family: The signal recognition particle (SRP) is a universally conserved ribonucleoprotein. It is involved in the co-translational targeting of proteins to membranes. The eukaryotic SRP consists of a 300-nucleotide 7S RNA and six proteins: SRPs 72, 68, 54, 19, 14, and 9.
Source: Rfam